CAGAGGGUGCGAGCGUUGUCCGGAAUCACUGGGCGUAAAGGGCGCGUAGGUGGCGUCGCAAGUCGAUGGUGAAAGCUCGCCGCUCAACGGCGAGUCGGCCACCGAUACUGCGAGGCUGGAGCACUGUAGAGGCUAAUGGAAUUCCGGGUGUAGCGGUGGAAUGCGUAGAGAUCCGGAAGAACACCGGUGGCGAAGGCGGUUAGCUGGGCAGUUGCUGACACUGAGGCGCGACAGCGUGGGGAGCAAACAGGAUUAGAUACCCUGGUAGUCCACGCCGUAAACGAUGGGCACUAGAUGCUUGGGGGAGCGACCCCCUGAGUGUCGUCGCUAACGCAUUAAGUGCCCCGCCUGGGGAGUACGGCCGCAAGGCUG
RNAcentral lists this ribosomal RNA (372 nucleotides) under uncultured organism. RNAcentral's name for it is "bacterial SSU rRNA". It matches the Rfam family "Bacterial small subunit ribosomal RNA", at positions 526 to 896 of the family's 1533-position model. The record is from RNAcentral.